RNAcentral lists this ribosomal RNA (735 nucleotides) under uncultured bacterium. RNAcentral describes it as "bacterial SSU rRNA". It matches the Rfam family "Bacterial small subunit ribosomal RNA", at positions 28 to 776 of the family's 1533-position model. The record is from RNAcentral.
GACGAACGCUGGCGGCGCGCCUAACACAUGCAAGUCGAACGAGCGAGAGAGAGCUUGCUUUCUUGAGCGAGUGGCGAACGGGUGAGUAACGCGUGAGGAACCUGCCUCAAAGAGGGGGACAACAGUUGGAAACGACUGCUAAUACCGCAUAAGCCCACGACCCGGCAUCGGGUUGAGGGAAAAGGAGCAAUCCGCUUUGAGAUGGCCUCGCGUCCGAUUAGCUGGUUGGUGAGGUAACGGCCCACCAAGGCGACGAUCGGUAGCCGGACUGAGAGGUUGAACGGCCACAUUGGGACUGAGACACGGCCCAGACUCCUACGGGAGGCAGCAGUGGGGAAUAUUGCACAAUGGGGGAAACCCUGAUGCAGCGACGCCGCGUGGAGGAAGAAGGUCUUCGGAUUGUAAACUCCUGUUGUUGAGGAAGAUAAUGACGGUACUCAACAAGGAAGUGACGGCUAACUACGUCCCAGCAGCCGCGGUAAAACGUAGGUCACAAGCGUUGUCCGGAAUUACUGGGUGUAAAGGGAGCGCAGGCGGGAAGACAAGUUGGAAGUGAAAUCUAUGGGCUCAACCCAUAAACUGCUUUCAAAACUGUUUUUCUUGAGUAGUGCAGAGGUAGGCGGAAUUCCCGGUGUAGCGGUGGAAUGCGUAGAUAUCGGGAGGAACACCAGUGGCGAAGGCGGCCUACUGGGCACCAACUGACGCUGAGGCUCGAAAGUGUGGGUAGCAAACAGG